This is a transfer RNA of Loxodonta africana (African savanna elephant), 60 nucleotides long. It matches the Rfam family "tRNA". Rfam says of the family: Transfer RNA (tRNA) molecules are approximately 80 nucleotides in length. Their secondary structure includes four short double-helical elements and three loops (D, anti-codon, and T loops). Further hydrogen bonds mediate the characteristic L-shaped molecular structure. tRNAs have two regions of fundamental functional importance: the anti-codon, which is responsible for specific mRNA codon recognition, and the 3' end, to which the tRNAs corresponding amino acid is attached (by aminoacyl-tRNA synthetases). tRNAs cope with the degeneracy of the genetic code in two manners: having more than one tRNA (with a specific anti-codon) for a particular amino acid; and 'wobble' base-pairing, i.e. permitting non-standard base-pairing at the 3rd anti-codon position. The record is from Rfam. NCBI's taxonomy places the organism in Eukaryota, Metazoa, Chordata, Mammalia, Proboscidea, Elephantidae.
AGUGGCUUAAGCAUUUGGCUGCUAACCAAAAGGUUGGCAGUUCGAAUCCACCAGCCGCUC